This is a long non-coding RNA of Episyrphus balteatus (marmalade hoverfly), 641 nucleotides long. RefSeq lists it as uncharacterized. Lineage: Eukaryota; Metazoa; Arthropoda; Insecta; Diptera; Syrphidae. The record is from RefSeq and is a predicted model, not a curated record. The transcript is spliced from 3 exons.
CAAAAUGCACAGCCUCAGCCUUGUGCAUUUAGAAAAAAAAAAUCAUAAAAAAAUGACACAAAAACCACCACCAAUUGAUUUGGAAAAUAAAGUGGAGAACUGGAGAUCAAUUCCAGACAUCAAUGACUGAGUUUACAGUUCAAAAGGUUCCUCCACAGACUUUGUAGUGUCUGCACCCUCCGACCACUUGUUGAUGUUUUCGCUCUAAUCCUAGACAAAAACAACAUUCAACAAUUCUAUAUCGAGUAUAAAAAUGACGUCAGAGACUCCUUGCUCGCCACAGUAUUGGAUGCAGUCGAGUGACAAUCAAGAUGUGCAAACAGAUUGCGAGGCAUGCAUUUUGUUUCCCUCAACAGUUGUGUGGAUAUAUAUAAGAUUUUAGAGAAAUUCAACGCCAACAUUUCUCAUAGUGGUCUCAAGUAAAGUGUCACACAAGACGUAUGUUUUGAUAUUAUAUAAUUCGACUGAAUAAAUCUUAAUCUCUAACCAAAGUUUCAACUUCAGAGUUUAUUUGUAAUUUCAUGUGUAAUUUCAAAAGGUUUAGAUUCACUAGGAACUAACUACUUCUUUUACGUACAAAUUUCACCACGUAAUUACGUACUUCCAGAUUCGAAGUUUCAGUGAUUAUUCUGUAGCUAAAA